GAACCCUAACAGUGAAAAAACGAACAAUGGGAUACACUACAAACUCCAGUUACUGUACAGCAACGGUGUCAGAACAGAACAGGAUCUUUUCGUACGAUUAAUCGAUUCCAUGACAAAACAGGCUAUUAUCUAUGAAGGUCAAGACAAAAACCCAGAGAUGUGCCGAGUGCUUCUCACACACGAAAUCAUGUGCAGG
Molecule: long non-coding RNA, 196 nt
Organism: Oncorhynchus kisutch (coho salmon)
Lineage: Eukaryota; Metazoa; Chordata; Actinopteri; Salmoniformes; Salmonidae
Exons: 3
Source: RefSeq, a predicted model, not a curated record